This is a long non-coding RNA of Equus quagga, 1322 nucleotides long. RefSeq lists it as uncharacterized. NCBI's taxonomy places the organism in Eukaryota, Metazoa, Chordata, Mammalia, Perissodactyla, Equidae. The transcript has 3 exons. The record is from RefSeq and is a predicted model, not a curated record.
CCCUGAAGUCCUUACUUCUGAGUUUUCAGGUAGAAGGAAGGAAGGGGCCAAGAACCAACCAUUUCUAAAUGGAAACUAUCCACCUUUAGUUAACUGUUUGAGCAAAAAGCAAAAGGCCUUUGACGCUGCAUGAGGUUGCUCAAUUCACUUCUGUUGAAAUAGUAGUUUUCUGAAGUCAGGGCACGGACAGCCUCUCCCAGCUGCGUGGGGCACUCAGGUUCCCAGCCCCGGGAAGGAGCAAAAGGAGAAGCAGAGACAAGGGUGAGCAGAAGGACUGCUCCCUCCGCCUGGAGCUUCUCAGUGGGCCAUGGUUCUGAGGUGCCUCCUGCAGGACGACAGCCCCACUCCUCAGGCACCCCCAGUCCCACAUCCGCCUUCAGCAUCCUGCCCCAUGAAAUUUUCCUCCGGAUAAUCUAAUCUUCUAUGGAAUCCAGUUUUUGUCUUUGAAAAAAAUUAUUUGGACUAUCUGGAAUCAACAUACCAAAGGAAUACAGCAAAACGUGCUCUGUUCUUUUCCAGAUAAGAAUUGUAGUCCUUCCACCUUUUCAGUUGGAAUUAGCAUAACAAACCACAGGGGUUUACUCACUGAGGGAAAUACCUAGGGUCCUCUUUAAGCAGCGGUUAAUUACAUCCUGCUAUUCAUCCCAUUUAUUAGAGGUUAACUAAUUAGCACCAGCCAGCUCCAUUUUUAAUCUAAAUGUUUCUCUUUCUCCAGACUCCCAGUGCCUGUGUCACAGUCUUGAACCUCCCCACUAAGUGACAAAAUAACAAGGUCUGUCUUCUCUUCUAGGUGACCAGGGACCCUUGCUCAAGGCCCAUCUGUAUGCCCCUGCCUUGAGUCUGAGCUGUGUCCUCUCCAGACCUGGUUUUCGGUUGAUGCAAUGAAAACGGACACAAGCUUUGGAGCCAGACAAAGGUACAACCGGCAAAACUCCAGGCACCUGGGAAAGCGCGGGGCUGUUCGCGGGUCGUCAGGCCGGGCUGCUCCGUUGGCUCAGCUGUUAAUACAGGAGUGACCAAAAUCACAAAUCUUCCAGUCUACUCCAUAAAGCAGCUGGGGACAGAAGCAGAAUCCUGGGAGCCUCCUUCCUUCCAGGCACCAGGAGGCAGCCACAUGUUGCCGAGGGGACACAGGCACGUGUCACCCCAGGAGCCCGUUUGCACAAAGCGUGAGCUCCGGAGCACAGCAGUCAGGGCUCCCAGUGACUCCGGGAUGCAGCCCCGGCCGCGCUUUCUCAUCGAUGAGACGUGAUUGUGUGUGUGUUUCAUUAUAAAAUGUUCAAACCAUGAAGACAUUCUGUACAUAAAGAAGAAUGCCACCA